RNAcentral lists this ribosomal RNA (109 nucleotides) under Jamesonia brasiliensis. RNAcentral's name for it is "4.5S ribosomal RNA". Lineage: Eukaryota; Viridiplantae; Streptophyta; Polypodiopsida; Polypodiales; Pteridaceae. The record is from RNAcentral.
UAAGGUCACGGCAAGACGAGCCGUUUACGUUUAUUACCACGAUAGGUGCUAAGUGGAGGUACAGUGAUGUAUGCAGCUGAGGCAUCCUAACAGACCGAUAGGUUUGAAC